Molecule: ribosomal RNA, 461 nt
Filed under: uncultured bacterium
Lineage: Bacteria
Description: partial 16S ribosomal RNA
Rfam family: Bacterial small subunit ribosomal RNA
Source: RNAcentral
CCUACGGGAGGCUGCAGUGAGGAAUAUUGGUCAAUGGGCUUACGCCUGAACCAGCCAAGUCGCGUGAGGGAAGACUGCCCUAUGGGUUGUAAACCUCUUUUGUCAGGGAGCAACGCCGGCUACGUGUAGCCGGACUGAGAGUACCUGAAGAAAAAGCCUCGGCUAACUCCGUGCCAGCAGCCGCGGUAAUACGUAGGUGGCAAGCGUUAUCCGGAUUUACUGGGUGUAAAGGGCGUGUAGGCGGGACUGCAAGUCAGAUGUGAAACCCAUGGGCUCAACCCAUGGCCUGCAUUUGAAACUGUAGUGCUUGAGUGAUGGAGAGGCAGGCGGAAUUCCGUGUGUAGCGGUGAAAUGCGUAGAUAUACGGAGGAACACCAGUGGCGAAGGCGGCCUGCUGGACAGUAACUGACGCUGAGGCGCGAAAGCGUGGGGAGCAAACAGGAUUAGAUACCCCAGUAGUC